GAUGAACGCUGGCGGCGUGCCUAAUACAUGCAAGUCGAGCGAACAGAUGAGAAGCUUGCUUCUCUGAUGUUAGCGGCGGACGGGUGAGUAACACGUGGGUAACCUACCUAUAAGACUGGGAUAACUCCGGGAAACCGGGGCUAAUACCGGAUAAUAUUUUGAACCGCAUGGUUCAAUAGUGAAAGACGGUUUCGGCUGUCACUUAUAGAUGGACCCGCGCCGUAUUAGCUAGUUGGUAAGGUAACGGCUUACCAAGGCGACGAUACGUAGCCGACCUGAGAGGUGGAUCGGCCACACUGGAACGGAGACACGGUACAGACUCCUACGGGAGGGAGCAGUAGGGAAUCUUCCGAAAUGGGCGAAAGCCUGACGGAGCAACGCCGCGUGAGUGAUGAAGGUCUUCGGAUCGUAAAACUCUGUUGUUAGGGAAGAACAAAUUUGUUAGUAACUGAACAAGUCUUGACGGUACCUAACCAGAAAGCCACGGCUAACUACGUGCCAGCCGCCGCCGUAA
Molecule: ribosomal RNA, 514 nt
Filed under: uncultured bacterium
Lineage: Bacteria
Description: partial 16S ribosomal RNA
Rfam family: Bacterial small subunit ribosomal RNA
Source: RNAcentral